This 275-nucleotide ribosomal RNA is filed under the name uncultured Streptococcus sp. Its description in RNAcentral is "partial 16S ribosomal RNA". It matches the Rfam family "Bacterial small subunit ribosomal RNA", at positions 1103 to 1382 of the family's 1533-position model. The record is from RNAcentral. Lineage: Bacteria; Bacillati; Bacillota; Bacilli; Lactobacillales; Streptococcaceae.
CCCUAUGUAGUUGCCAUCAUUCAGUUGGGCACUCUAGCGAGACUGCCGGUAAUAAACCGGAGGAAGUGGGGAUGACGUCAAAUCAUCAUGCCCCUUAUGACCUGGGCUACACACGUGCUACAAUGGUUGGUACAACGAGUUGCGAGUCGGUGACGGCGAGCUAAUCUCUUAAAGCCAAUCUCAGUUCGGAUUGUAGGCUGCAACUCGCCUACAUGAAGUCGGAAUCGCUAGUAAUCGCGGAUCAGCACGCCGCGGUGAAUACGUUCCCGGGCCUU